UGCCAGCCGCCGCGGUAAUACGUACUGUGCGAACGUUAUUCGGUAUCACUGGGCUUAAAGGGUGCGUAGGCGGUCGUCUAAGUAGGGUGUGAAAUCCCCCGGCUCAACCGGGGAACUGCGCUCUAAACUGGACGACUUGAGUAAGAUAGGGGUGUGCGGAACUUCCGGUGGAGCGGUGAAAUGUGUUGAUAUCGGAAGGAACACCAGUAGCGAAGGCGGCACACUGGGGGAUGACUGACGCUGAGGCACGAAAGCUAGGGGAGCGAACAGGAUUAGAUA
RNAcentral lists this ribosomal RNA (279 nucleotides) under uncultured bacterium. RNAcentral describes it as "partial 16S ribosomal RNA". It matches the Rfam family "Bacterial small subunit ribosomal RNA", at positions 506 to 784 of the family's 1533-position model. The record is from RNAcentral.